Molecule: long non-coding RNA, 1698 nt
Organism: Oryctolagus cuniculus (rabbit)
Lineage: Eukaryota; Metazoa; Chordata; Mammalia; Lagomorpha; Leporidae
Source: Ensembl
CAUGAGUUCAGUUACUGGCUAGGGAAAGCUGCUCAACUCUGGUGCAGGAGUUAAUGCGUUUGGCCCAAGCUAGCUAAUGCAGGACCUGGAUGUAGUGCAACCGGCCUCACGGGGCUGGCGUGAGGCUCUCCCCCGCUCCAUCUUCGUUACCCACCUCCUGACAGGCGGCUCCUUGCAACCACAGUAAGACUCUGACUUGCCCCGUUCCAGAAAAGCACAUUUCACCCUGAUCAUGCGGCUCAGUUCUUCAAGAGAGGUCAGGGAAGAAUUUUCCAAAAAGACAUUUCCAGCCCCAGGCUUACUCAAAGCAGAGUGCUGAGCAAUCUCUGGGUUCCACAGAAAUCUCCUCUAACAGCAAAAGCGGCUGUGGGGAAGGAGCCCGUGCUGGAGGCGGGCACCUGACAUCGCCCUGGACGCAUUCCCUCUCUGGAUCUCAGUGCCCUUGCUAUGUAGUGGGCUCCAGAGUCAAUGUCCACCUAUCGGCGGCUUCUCUUGGUCCUUCUCCCCCACCAAGCUCACCCCUUUCUUGGCAUCAGUAUCCACUUAAAGAUCUUGUUUGUCAAGGGAGGGCUCAGGGGAGGUGGGUGGCUUAAUGACCAUCUCCCCUCCCAGAUAUCCCGGUUGGCAGAGGGAAGUCCUUAGGAGGUUGUCAUAAAUAACUAGCCCUUGUCCUUACUCCCUCUGAAGGAAGUCUGAGCUGUGACUGCUGUGGCUCAUUUGGGCAAAGUUGGGAGCCCAGAAGCAUUCUCAUUGGAAGAUCUGCUUGUAGAGUUUCAUGUAACCCCAGCCCGACUGGGAGCCAGGAGCUUGGAUGUUCUUAUAAGGCUCGCUCAAGUCUCAAAGAGGAGGCGGAGAGUUACAUGCCAGGGCCUGAACUGCCAAUCAGCAAGACUCACUCCCUCCAGCUGGGCAAGAGGUUGCCCCACCACCACCAGCAGUGGGAAGUGCAGGCCAGAUACCAUCUGGAGGUAAACAUCUGCCGAUUGAUAGCUUUCCCGCAGCUUUGGAGCACCCCGGUUGGCACAGGAAGACAGCUCAGGAGAGAGGGGAAUUGCCAGCAUCGUUGAGGGAAGGGCAAUUAUUAUAGAGAGGGAAGUCCCCUAACUUAACCCAAGUGAUAGAGGAGUUUCUGGGAGAGAUGCCCCUAGAGACUGGGUAUGCCUACAGGAAGAGGGGGCAGGGAAAAGUGCAUUUCCUGGUUGGAUGCUUGCUGAUGUCUGCAUCUGCAUGCCCAUUCCAGACCUGCAAGGAACGUAACAGACUCUGACAGGCACGUUCUAGAAAGAACUUGGUCUCUGUUCACUAAGAUUUGAGGGCACAUAUGAAGCAAUAGCAUUUGCUACUGAUUCUUUUUUUAAAAAACAACUUUACUAGGGCUGGCAUUGUGGUGCAACCCCUGCAACUCUGGCAUCCCAUAUUGGAGUGCUGGCUCAGGUCACGGCUUUUCUGCCUCAAUCCUGCUUCCUGCUGAUGUGCCUGAGAAGGCAGUAGAAGUGGCCCAAGUACUUGGGCUCCUGUCACCCAUGUGGGAGACCAAGAUGGAGUUCUGGGAUCUUGAUUUCCGCCUGGUCUAGCCCCUCCCAUUGUGGCCAUUUGGGGAGUGAAUCAGUGGAUGGAAUGUCUCCCUGUGUCUUUCCUUUCUCUCUGUCACUCUGCCUUUCAAAUAAAUACAUAAAUGAAUAUUUAAAAAAAGAUAAC